RNAcentral lists this ribosomal RNA (1401 nucleotides) under Mammaliicoccus sciuri. RNAcentral describes it as "bacterial SSU rRNA". It matches the Rfam family "Bacterial small subunit ribosomal RNA". Lineage: Bacteria; Bacillati; Bacillota; Bacilli; Caryophanales; Staphylococcaceae. The record is from RNAcentral.
GUCGAGCGAACAGAUGAGAAGCUUGCUUCUCUGAUGUUAGCGGCGGACGGGUGAGUAACACGUGGGUAACCUACCUAUAAGACUGGGAUAACUCCGGGAAACCGGGGCUAAUACCGGAUAAUAUUUUGAACCGCAUGGUUCAAUAGUGAAAGACGGUUUCGGCUGUCACUUAUAGAUGGACCCGCGCCGUAUUAGCUAGUUGGUAAGGUAACGGCUUACCAAGGCGACGAUACGUAGCCGACCUGAGAGGGUGAUCGGCCACACUGGAACUGAGACACGGUCCAGACUCCUACGGGAGGCAGCAGUAGGGAAUCUUCCGCAAUGGGCGAAAGCCUGACGGAGCAACGCCGCGUGAGUGAUGAAGGUCUUCGGAUCGUAAAACUCUGUUGUUAGGGAAGAACAAAUUUGUUAGUAACUGAACAAGUCUUGACGGUACCUAACCAGAAAGCCACGGCUAACUACGUGCCAGCAGCCGCGGUAAUACGUAGGUGGCAAGCGUUAUCCGGAAUUAUUGGGCGUAAAGCGCGCGUAGGCGGUUUCUUAAGUCUGAUGUGAAAGCCCACGGCUCAACCGUGGAGGGUCAUUGGAAACUGGGAAACUUGAGUGCAGAAGAGGAGAGUGGAAUUCCAUGUGUAGCGGUGAAAUGCGCAGAGAUAUGGAGGAACACCAGUGGCGAAGGCGGCUCUCUGGUCUGUAACUGACGCUGAUGUGCGAAAGCGUGGGGAUCAAACAGGAUUAGAUACCCUGGUAGUCCACGCCGUAAACGAUGAGUGCUAAGUGUUAGGGGGUUUCCGCCCCUUAGUGCUGCAGCUAACGCAUUAAGCACUCCGCCUGGGGAGUACGACCGCAAGGUUGAAACUCAAAGGAAUUGACGGGGACCCGCACAAGCGGUGGAGCAUGUGGUUUAAUUCGAAGCAACGCGAAGAACCUUACCAAAUCUUGACAUCCUUUGACCGCUCUAGAGAUAGAGUCUUCCCCUUCGGGGGACAAAGUGACAGGUGGUGCAUGGUUGUCGUCAGCUCGUGUCGUGAGAUGUUGGGUUAAGUCCCGCAACGAGCGCAACCCUUAAGCUUAGUUGCCAUCAUUAAGUUGGGCACUCUAGGUUGACUGCCGGUGACAAACCGGAGGAAGGUGGGGAUGACGUCAAAUCAUCAUGCCCCUUAUGAUUUGGGCUACACACGUGCUACAAUGGAUAAUACAAAGGGCAGCGAAUCCGCGAGGCCAAGCAAAUCCCAUAAAAUUAUUCUCAGUUCGGAUUGUAGUCUGCAACUCGACUACAUGAAGCUGGAAUCGCUAGUAAUCGUAGAUCAGCAUGCUACGGUGAAUACGUUCCCGGGUCUGUACACACCGCCCGUCACACCACGAGAGUUUGUAACACCCGAAGCCGGUGGAGUAACCUUU